This 700-nucleotide ribosomal RNA is filed under the name uncultured bacterium. Its description in RNAcentral is "bacterial SSU rRNA". It matches the Rfam family "Bacterial small subunit ribosomal RNA", at positions 8 to 716 of the family's 1533-position model. The record is from RNAcentral.
AGAGUUUGAUCCUGGCUCAGGACGAACGCUGGCGGCGUGCUUAACACAUGCAAGUCGAACGGUGACCUCGAGAGCUUGCUCUCGAGUGAUCAGUGGCGAACGGGGUGAGUAACACGUGAGUAACCUACCCCUGACUCUGGAAUAACAAUUGGAAACAGUUGCUAAUACCGGAUACGACACGAGCGGGCAUCCGCAUCGUGUGGAAAGUUUUUCGGUCUGGGAUGGACUCGCGGCCUAUCAGCUUGUUGGUGAGGUAACGGCUCACCAAGGCGACGACGGGUAGCCGGCCUAAGAGGGCGACCGGCCACACUGGGACUGAGACACGGCCCAGACUCCUACGGGAGGCAGCAGUGGGGAAUAUUGCACAAUGGGCGAAAGCCUGAUGCAGCGACGCCGCGUGAGGGAUGACGGCCUUCGGGUUGUAAACCUCUUUCAGUAGGGAAGAAGCGAAAGUGACGGUACCUACAGAAGAAGCACCGGCUAACUACGUGCCAGCAGCCGCGGUAAUACGUAGGGUGCGAGCGUUGUCCGGAAUUAUUGGGCGUAAAGAGCUUGUAGGCGGUCUGUCGCGUCUGCCGUGAAAAUCCGGGGCUCAACCCCGGACUUGCGGUGGGUACGGGCAGACUAGAGUGUGGUAGGGGAGACUGGAAUUCCUGGUGUAGCGGUGAAAUGCGCAGAUAUCAGGAGGAACACCGAUGGC